CAGCAUAACUCUGUGUCCUUGUCCUCCAAUCCUCUGGAUAUAAAGGCCAGCAUUCCAUUAGCUUUCUUCAGUCAAUGAAUAUCAGAUUUAAAAAGAAACACGAAAAUUGUUGGAGAAACUCAUCAAGGACAGAUAUUAUUUGCCACCUGGGGACUGACUGUUUGCUGCUGAUGACAAUUCUCUGUCUUUUCUUUUGACCCUUUCGUGACAAGCUGUGCUGGAGCCGUGUACAGUUCUGUAACAAACACAGGGACGCACGAUGAUGAUACCAAGAUGGAUGGUGGUUUGGUGUGCUCGGUCAUCACGAUCCCAAAGACAAGAAACACUGGCUGACUAAGCAGACCAGCAACCAUCCUGCAUCACAUACGCCACCCCGAGGCACACAGAUAUGCGAGGGGAUGAAGAACCAGGUCAAGAUGGAGAAGGAAACGUUUACGCCAACCUUCCAUGGACAUUGUGAGACAGCACAGAAGAAUCCCUUCAAAGCUUCACAAAUUGAUGGAUAGCAAUUGUUCCUUCCAGCAAAUAAGGGGGAGAAGGAAGAGAGGACAGAGGAGUGUCAAGUUUCUGCAGCUGACAAAUGGCUCAACUUUGUUUCCAUUCAUUCAGCCAGACAUCAAUUCUAAACAUGAAUUUGCCUUGAGAAACCAUCUGAAUAACUGUCUCUCACAUAACUCUGAGUGAGCCAAUUUCUCCUGCUGUAGCAUGACCUGACCCUUGAUGGCAGGGGUUUGAGAUUUAGUGUUGUCCAUUCCUAACUUGAGUAUCCAUUUGAUCUCCUGGUCAGUGGGUCAGGGCAGAUGAGCCAAUGAAUUGAAUCUACUCUGCAUUUAUUUUUUAAUUGUGGUGAGCUAUUAUUGGAGGUGUGAUUAUUCUCCAGCUCAAUCCACAUUACCCUCUACUUCAUCAUUUUCAAACAUAUAUCCAGCUCUCUCCUCAUACCUCAUAUGGAAUCCACCUCCACCACUCUCCCAGGCAGCGCAUUCCAAGUCCGAACAAUGGUCCGAGUAAACAUGUUUCUCCUCAUCUCACUCCUAGCUCUCUUGGUAACAAUCUUGAAAUUCUGACCCCUGGUUACUGACAUAGUGGAAAACAGAGUAUUCUACUUUACCCUCUCAAAAUUCUUCAUAACUGUGAACACCCCCAUUUGUGUCCCCUCUGCUCCAGGGAGAAUAAGCCUGGUUUCAUUAAUCUUUCUUCGAAUGUAAAAUCCUUCAUUCCUGCUGUCAUUCUACUAAUCUACUUUAAACCAUCUCCAGAGGGUUCUUCCUUAAAUAAGGUGCCCAGAGCUGAACACAAACAUAGUCUGAGCAAUGUGGUCUCAACAAUAAUUUGUAGAGAUGUAGUAUUACUUCCUUGCUUUGAGACUCAAUGCCUCUAUUUUUAAACUCAAAGAUCCUUUGAAACUGCUUCACAACUGUUUCAAAUUGCCUGGCCACCUUCAGAGAAUGAUGCACAUGAACCCGAAAGAUCUCUCUGUUCCAAUAUUCCCUUUAAAGCUGUACCAUUGAGCUUGUAUUGUUUCUUUAUAUUUUUCUUUGCAAAAUGCAUAAGCUCAUAUUUUUCUGCAUUGAAAUUUAUCUGGCAGGUUUCUGCUCAUUUGGCCAAUUUGCCAAUGUCCCUGUGAAGUCACUCAGUAUCAUCCUCACAAUUCACUCUUCUCCCUGGCUUAGUAUCAUCUGUACAUUUAGAGAUUUUAUCCUCAAUACCCAACUCCAAACCAUUUCUAUAAUCAAUAUAUUUAUCUACAUACACCUGUCAGUUUCUCUUAUGUAAAUGUAUGACUGUAUUUACCAGCCUGUACCUGUAGUUUCUGCUCUGAGAAUUGAGAAUGACAAUACUAAUCUGUAUCUGUCAGUUUCUGUUGUGUGAAUAUGAGUUCCCAGUCUAUGCCUCUCUGUUUCUGCCUUGUCAGUGUGUAAAUGUACUUAUCGAAGUACACCUGUCAGUUCCUGCUCGGUGAAUGUGAGAGUGCUGUUCCCAACAUGUACCUGUGAGAUUCUGCUCUGUCAAUAGGAGAGUCUAGUUAACAGACUAUACUUGUCAGUUUCUGCUCUGUGAAACUGGGAGUGUAGUUAUCAUUGUGUAUGUCCAUUUUAGCUUUGAGAAUGAGGGUGUAGUUAUUCAUCUCUCCCUGACAGUUCCUGCAACGUGAAUGCAUGACUGACAUUAGCAGGAACCAACAGAGACUGAUAACUACAGUCACACCUUUACAUUGUAGUCAAUGUGUUGUCAUAACUUGUGUGUUUCUGCAAUAUGAACAAGUGGGUGUAGUUAUCAAUCUGUACGUGUGAGUUUCUCCUCAUGUAUCAAAUUGGCUAAGUCUCUGAAGGCCAGUAAUAUUCUCUGUGACUGUACGAAAAGGCUGGGUCUUAAUCUCUUCUGCAUUGUGUGAUUUAGGAGUUGAGUGUCAGUCCGUGUGGUAGGUGAGGGGGUGGAGAAGUUGAGGACAUGGGGUGAUAACAGGAGGGGAACUGCUUUAUUCUGAGAACCAUUCUGAUGAAUGGUCACAUAUUUCCGAUUUGGUCAGGCAGUCUGAGAUCUGUGGUACCACUGAUUAAACUGUUUGUUUCUCACCAAAAUCAGUAACACAGAUAUGGUACAGCAUAGAGGCAGACCAUUCAGCCCACUGUCUCUGUACUGGGAUUUUUUAAUGCAUCAGUUCCACAGUAAUUGUUAGGAAUGUGAACUUCAUCUACUCAUUGUCAGUGUCUAUUUGUAAAGGCCAAUAUGACAUUAGUUCUGUGGGUAUCUGACUUUUCGUAACGGCAGUUUUGAUAUGUUUCCCACAGUCUCAGGGAGAGUAUUUGGAUCUCAUUCUCGUAUGUUCAG
Stegostoma tigrinum is the source of this 2832-nucleotide long non-coding RNA. RefSeq lists it as uncharacterized. The record is from RefSeq and is a predicted model, not a curated record. The transcript has 3 exons. NCBI's taxonomy places the organism in Eukaryota, Metazoa, Chordata, Chondrichthyes, Orectolobiformes, Stegostomatidae.